RNAcentral lists this ribosomal RNA (253 nucleotides) under uncultured bacterium. Its description in RNAcentral is "partial 16S ribosomal RNA". It matches the Rfam family "Bacterial small subunit ribosomal RNA", at positions 524 to 776 of the family's 1533-position model. The record is from RNAcentral.
UACGUAGGGUGCAAGCGUUGUCCGGAAUUAUUGGGCGUAAAGAGCUCGUAGGCGGUUUGUCGCGUCUGCUGUGAAAACUCGGGGCUUAACUCCGGGCCUGCAGUGGGUACGGGCAGACUAGCGUGCGGUAGGGGAGACUGGAAUUCCUGGUGUAGCGGUGAAAUGCGCAGAUAUCGGGAGGAACACCUAUGGCGAAGGCAGCUCGCUGGGACGGUACUGACGCUGAGACGCGAAAGCGUGGGGAGCAAACAGG